CUGAGUUUUGUCUUUGUAGUUCAGAGAAGCAGUUGGUUGGUGGUGGGCAAGCAAUUGGAUUUAGUUGUUUCUGCUAGAUUUGGACUUUUCCCAACCUGUUGGAUCUCAACAUACAUCACUAUUGCUAUCCCACCUACAAGAGAGCACUAUAUAUCUCCACAACUGAGCUUCAUGGAGACACACCUAAGCCAAGAACAGCCAAGCCAUGAACCCCAAGACCAAUCCAAACACUAAACACAACCGUGUUGGGAAGAAUUAACCAGCAAACUAGAUCCAGAUGAGUAAGCCCCAUUACAAAAACAGAAAUAACAUGGAAAAUACAAGACAACAUUGUGCCUCCCCAAAUGAGCAAUCCCACAAUAAUGGCCAACUGGAAGAGUCCCUGAAGCAAAAUUCAAUACAAAGUAUUUAAAAGAA
This is a long non-coding RNA of Peromyscus maniculatus bairdii (prairie deer mouse), 417 nucleotides long. RefSeq lists it as uncharacterized. NCBI's taxonomy places the organism in Eukaryota, Metazoa, Chordata, Mammalia, Rodentia, Cricetidae. The record is from RefSeq and is a predicted model, not a curated record.